Molecule: unclassified non-coding RNA, 352 nt
Filed under: Hevea brasiliensis (rubber tree)
Lineage: Eukaryota; Viridiplantae; Streptophyta; Magnoliopsida; Malpighiales; Euphorbiaceae
Source: RNAcentral
AAAAAGAAGAAGAAGAAGAUAACAGUCAAACCAACCUAAUUGGUGGGGGGCCACAGCCAACUUUAAAAUUCAUAAUAUAGUUCAAAUAUCCAUGGAUAAAAAAUAAACAAAAGAAUAAAAAAUUAGUUAUUUCCUCUAUGGGCCCUCCUCUUCUCAUUUUAUUUUCAUUCCCAAUAUAAAUCUUGCUGGCUGCUUAUUGAAUUCUACUUCUAAACCUCGACUCGAUGUAAUUGUUCCAAGAAUGGGGGAAAAAAUUAAGGACACGGAAAAAGGGGAGGGGAACUCAAAUAGAUCACCAAGAAAACUCCUUGUAACAACGAUUAACAAUAGGAAGAGGGAGCACGAAUGACUG